This 468-nucleotide ribosomal RNA is filed under the name uncultured bacterium. RNAcentral describes it as "bacterial SSU rRNA". It matches the Rfam family "Bacterial small subunit ribosomal RNA", at positions 28 to 507 of the family's 1533-position model. The record is from RNAcentral.
GAUGAACGCUGGCGGCGUGCCUAACACAUGCAAGUCGAACGGACGAGAAGAGCUUGCUCUUCGAGUUAGUGGCGGACGGGUGAGUAACGCGUGAGCAAUCUGCCUUUCAGAGGGGAGUAACAUUGGGAAACCGGGUAGCUAAUACCGCAUGAUGUGCGAGGGUCGCAUGACUCUUGUACCAAAGGAGCAAUCCGCUGAAAGAUGAGCUCGCGUCUGAUUAGCUAGUUGGUGAGGUAACGGCCCACCAAGGCGACGAUCAGUAGCCGGACUGAGAGGUUGAACGGCCACAUUGGAACUGAGAUACGGUCCAGACUCCUACGGGAGGCAGCAGUGGGGGAAUAUUGGGGCAAUGGGCGCAAGCCUGACCCAGCAACGCCGUGUGAAGGAAGAAGGUCUUCGGAUUGUAAACUUUUGUCUUAUGGGACGAUAAUGACGGUACCAUAGGAGGAAGUCACGACUAACUACGUG